UGUCGUCAGCUCGUGUCGUGAGAUGUUGGGUUAAGUCCCGCAACGAGCGCAACCCUUGUCAUUAAUUGCCAUCAUUUAGUUGGGCACUUUAAUGAGACUGCCGGUGACAAACCGGAGGAAGGUGGGGAUGACGUCAAGUCCUCAUGGCCCUUAUGGGUAGGGCUUCACACGUCAUACAAUGGUCGGUACAGAGGGUUGCCAAGCCGCGAGGUGGAGCCAAUCCCAGAAAGCCGAUCGUAGUCCGGAUCGCAGUCUGCAACUCGACUGCGUGAAGUCGGAAUCGCUAGUAAUCGCGGAUCAGCAUGUCGCGGUGAAUACGUUCCCGGGUCUUGUACACACCGCCCGUCACACCAUGGGAGUGGGUUCUACCAGAAGUAGUUAGCCUAACCGUAAGGAGGGCGAUUACCACGGUAGGAUUCAUGACUGGGGUGAAGUCGUAACAAGGUAGCCGUAUCGGAAGGUGCGGCUGGAUCACCUCCUUUCUAG
This 486-nucleotide ribosomal RNA is filed under the name bacterium. RNAcentral describes it as "bacterial SSU rRNA". It matches the Rfam family "Bacterial small subunit ribosomal RNA", at positions 1050 to 1533 of the family's 1533-position model. The record is from RNAcentral.